UUCAUGUAGGUUUAAAACUGACAUGGAAUUUAUCCUAUAUUUAUUUUAUUUAUUUUUGUAAAAUUAAUUCUCUUUCUCACUUUACUCUCACUCUCUCACACUGUCCCUCUCUUCUCACGAACUCCCCAAACCCUCUCUUCUUAAUCACACCCUUACCACCAUCGCUGAAGAUCCAUCGAAGCAAGUUGUCAAACCUUCCAUCAUCCCGCCCAGAUCGUCUCAGUAGUUCAGACACAACCAGAUCGUUUAGACAGCAGUUUGUCAUGCCCAGAUCUUUAUUUCGUUCGGAGAGUAGUUGCGUUUUGUUUGGUGCCCAGUCAUCGCAUUUCGUUUGGUGCCUAGAUUUAUUGUUGCAGUGACCAGAUUUGUUGCGUUUGUGCCUGAUUUUUUGUGUUCGUGCCCAGACUCAUUGUACUCAGAUCGUUGCGUUCGAGUAAGUUGCCCAGAUUCGUUUCCAAUCUUUGUAGAUCCGUUCGUGCCCAGAUCUUUCUAUGUUUGAGAUCUGUUCGGCACACGAUUGGAGAAUGCAGCACCACAAAAUCGGAUGAUAUCGAGAAACAAGUGUUUGAGGAGGAGGUUUCAUUCAAAGACGUACGAAGUGUUCUUUUACGACACCAAGAAUUCUUUCUCUGAAAAUUCUGUCAAUGCUAAGUCAAUGCCUGCUAAAAUGCGGUUACAAUAUAAAUAUUCACACGACUUCUCAAUGUCACAACAUUUUCAGUUUGGAGGUAUGCUUUGUUGGAAGGCCGGUAAUGCAAACAUUGAAUCCCCUGGUGAGGGAAACUUAUGAAGCCGAUUUUCUAGAGAAAGAGAUUAGGUUCAUGUUUGAGAAGGUGAGUAAACGGGAUAAGAAAUUAUACUAGAGUAUGUGAUGAGAUAAUUGUAAAAGUAAUUGGAAAAUAGAUGUGUAUAUAUAUAUAUAGGUAAGCCAUCAUCCAACUCCGAUAACAUGCCAUUGUGAAGGGAGAGGGUGGAAGUUUUGGGGAGAUAGCAAGCUUCAGUCCAAAUUCUCAGGAAGGUCAAUUCACCUGGACCCUCUUGGAGUAUUCACACUUGAGUUUGAUGAUGGUGAAAUCUUGUGGUGGUGCAAGGUAUGGGAAUUAGUUAGAGGCACUCAUUAUAAUCAUUUUGAAUAGAACAAAGGAAAAUCAGUAGCUUUAAAAACAAGGAAAGAUGGUGAGGUUAUGGUAUAGUGGGUGAGUUUUUCUCAUUUUAUGGAUACUUGGUUUCAAAUUUUAUUAUUUCUAAUCGUAGUCCUGUGUUCCAACUCGUUAUUUUA
This is a long non-coding RNA of Cucumis melo (muskmelon), 1279 nucleotides long. RefSeq lists it as uncharacterized. The transcript has 2 exons. The record is from RefSeq and is a predicted model, not a curated record. Lineage: Eukaryota; Viridiplantae; Streptophyta; Magnoliopsida; Cucurbitales; Cucurbitaceae.